Molecule: ribosomal RNA, 506 nt
Filed under: uncultured bacterium
Lineage: Bacteria
Description: partial 16S ribosomal RNA
Rfam family: Bacterial small subunit ribosomal RNA
Source: RNAcentral
AGUGAACGCUGGCGGUAGGCCUAACACAUGCAAGUCGAACGGCAGCACAGGAGGGCUUGCUCUCUGGGUGGCGAGUGGCGGACGGGUGAGGAAUACAUCGGAAUCUACUUUUUCGUGGGGGAUAACGUAGGGAAACUUACGCUAAUACCGCAUACGACCUACGGGUGAAAGCAGGGGAUCUUCGGACCUUGCGCGAUUGAAUGAGCCGAUGUCGGAUUAGCUAGUUGGCGGGGUAAAGGCCCACCAAGGCGACGAUCCGUAGCUGGUCUGAGAGGAUGAUCAGCCACACUGGAACUGAGACACGGUCCAGACCCCUACGGGAGGCAGCAGUGGGGAAUAUUGGACAAUGGGCGCAAGCCUGAUCCAGCCAUACCGCGUGGGUGAAGAAGGCCUUCGGGUUGUAAAGCCCUUUUGUUGGGAAAGAAAUCCAGCUGGUUAAUACCCGGUUGGGAUGACGGUACCCAAAGAAUAAGCACCGGCUAACUUCGUGCCAGCAGCCGCCGUAA